This 463-nucleotide ribosomal RNA is filed under the name uncultured bacterium. Its description in RNAcentral is "bacterial SSU rRNA". It matches the Rfam family "Bacterial small subunit ribosomal RNA", at positions 337 to 793 of the family's 1533-position model. The record is from RNAcentral.
UCCUACGGGAGGCAGCAGUGAGGAAUAUUGCACAAUGGGCGAAAGCCUGAUGCAGCGACGCCGCGUGGAGGAUGAAGGUUUUCGGAUCGUAAACUCCUGUUAAGUGGGAAGAAAUGCUUGUUGUUAAUAGCGGCAAGAGAUGACGGUACCACUAGAGAAAGCACCGGCUAACUUCGUGCCAGCAGCCGCGGUAAUACGAGGGGUGCAAACGUUAUUCGGAAUCACUGGGCGUAAAGGGUGUGUAGACGGCAAUGCAAGUCAGCUAUAAAUUUCUUGGCUUAACCAAGAGUAUGUGGCUGAAACUGUUUUGCUAGAGGAUGGAAGAGAGAAGUGGAAUUCUCGGAGUAGCGGUAAAAUGCGUAGAUCUCGAGAGGAACACCGAUGGCGAAGGCAGCUUCUUGGUCCAUUCCUGACGUUGAUGCACGAAAGCGUGGGGAGCAAACAGGAUUAGAUACCCUUGUAG